AACGAACGCUGGCGGCAUGCCUAACACAUGCAAGUCGAACGAGACCUUCGGGUCUAGUGGCGCACGGGUGCGUAACGCGUGGGAACCUGCACUUAGGUUCGGAAUAACUCCCCGACAGGGGUGCUAAUACCGGAUAAUGUCUUCGGACCAAAGAUUUAUCGCCUUUGGAUGGGCCCGCGUGGGAUUAGCUAGUUGGUAGGGUAAAAGCCUACCAAGGCGACGAUCCAUAGCUGGUCUGAGAGGAUGAUCAGCCACACUGGGACUGAGACACGGCCCAGACUCCUACGGGAGGCAGCAGUGGGGAAUAGUGGACAAUGGGCGAAAGCCUGAUCCAGCAAGGCCGCGUGAGUGAUGAAGGCCUUAGGGUUGUAAAGCUCUUUUACCCGGGAUGAUAAUGACAGUACCGGGAGAAUAAGCUCCGGCUAACUCCGUG
RNAcentral lists this ribosomal RNA (433 nucleotides) under uncultured bacterium. RNAcentral's name for it is "partial 16S ribosomal RNA". It matches the Rfam family "Bacterial small subunit ribosomal RNA", at positions 29 to 507 of the family's 1533-position model. The record is from RNAcentral.